This 1035-nucleotide long non-coding RNA is filed under the name Cervus hanglu yarkandensis (Yarkand deer). RNAcentral describes it as "lncRNA (ENSCHYG00000006905.1)". Lineage: Eukaryota; Metazoa; Chordata; Mammalia; Artiodactyla; Cervidae. The record is from RNAcentral.
AUGGCCGCGGUCUGGCGACCGCCACCCUGCUAUCCCUUCACAAGGCGCCUGGCUCUCCUCUCUCCCUCACCCCAGGCUGGGACCCUCUCCAAAGCCUCAGUUAGGUCUCCCGCCUUGCAGGCCUAUUCUUUACCAGCUGAGCCAGCAGGGAAGCCCCAAAGGGUCACACUAGGGAGUCGAGUGUCUGGGCCAACCUCCGGUGGUCCUGUAACCCUCCAGGUGUGGUCUGGAUGCAGAAAGCCUCUGAGGACAGCUGGCUUGGGAAUGCUGGCUUCCAGGCCGUCAGACAAUCUUCUUCGUGCAGGACUGCCCAGAGCCUUUAGCGUCCCGACCUGGCUGGGAGCCGCUGAGACUCGGAGCCCCCGUGUUCCUGCCGGCGGAGCGCCAGGCUUCCCGGGCGCUGAGAACUCUCUGGGCGUGGGGGAAGGCUCACGUUUCCCCGUGGGGGCCUCCCCCUCCUCCUCCCUGCCUUUUCUCCUCCAUCGUAGCCUUCCGACCUCACCCUGCAGCCCCUGCCCACACUUGCCCCUCCUCCGGCCCGGCUCCGUAGCCGUCCCCAGCCUCCCCAGCUCUCUGGGUGCCCCCCUCAUUGACCAGCCUCCUGUGGUCAGCGUGGGGCGGCGGGGAGCAGCGGGUCACUGGACUGCGGGGAGGGGACUCAUGCCUGCUCCCCCGUCCCCAGGCCAGUUCCUCAGAGGCACCCUCCCAGGCCGCUUCGCCGGGCGGUCGGGCGCGACGUCGGGUCUGCCGACCUCCCUUGCUCCGAGGUGGCCUUUGGGUGCUGGGCAGGUGGGCCACAGUGGGCUGCUGGAGCCUGGCUGGGAGCGGCCAGCCCCUGCCUGGGAGCCGUCAGGAUGGAGUCGCAGCACCCGGCAGGCUGGCUGGUGCCCCCAAGGCUCGGCUGGGCCCUGUGCUGCUGGCGUCCGUGGCUGGGGUGCUCUGGGCCUCUUCCCUUGCCCUGGUGGCACAGAAGGCCCAGGGCUUCACUGCGUGAACCCGCCGGACCGUCCCGGUGGAACUGGCCUCCUGGAAUGA